This 457-nucleotide ribosomal RNA is filed under the name uncultured prokaryote. RNAcentral's name for it is "partial 16S ribosomal RNA". The record is from RNAcentral.
CCCUAUGGGGUGCAGCAGGCAUUGUUGCCAGUGGUUGGUACAUCGUUCCGGGAUUUGAAUCGUUGCCUUCAGGUGAGAGGUAAAUCUGCUGGCUUAAGAGUGAUCCAGACUUCAGGAAAAACAGGAUAAUUAUCAGGAUGGCUGAUAGUUGAAAUUUCAUUUGCAUAAGUGGAUUAAAAUGAAAAGUUAAAGCUAUAUAGUGCAAAAUCCAAAAAAUAAGUUCAGAUUGCGGACCAUUGAUAAUAUUGCUUCGCUUCGCUCUAUCACAACUUGAUUAUUAAUGGCCCUUUCUUAUUCCACUUCACCUCAACCUUCGAAAUAUACCAGGUCUUUCCCUUGUCGUUAUUACCCUGGAAAAAGAGGUAUGUCUUACCGUUAGUAUCCUUAAAUAUAUGCGGAUGCCCCGAUUCGCUGGAAUUCCAUUCACCCUGAUUACCGUUCUUAAGGAAGGGAGAGC